Molecule: ribosomal RNA, 253 nt
Filed under: uncultured bacterium
Lineage: Bacteria
Description: partial 16S ribosomal RNA
Rfam family: Bacterial small subunit ribosomal RNA
Source: RNAcentral
UACGUAGGGUGCGAGCGUUGUCCGGAAUUACUGGGCGUAAAGGGCUCGUAGGCGGUCUGUUGCGUCGGGAGUGAAAACUCAGGGCUUAACCCUGAGCCUGCUUCCGAUACGGGCAGACUAGAGGUAUGCAGGGGAGAACGGAAUUCCUGGUGUAGCGGUGAAAUGCGCAGAUAUCAGGAGGAACACCGGUGGCGAAGGCGGUUCUCUGGGCAUUACCUGACGCUGAGGAGCGAAAGUGUGGGGAGCGAACAGG